RNAcentral lists this ribosomal RNA (484 nucleotides) under uncultured bacterium. RNAcentral describes it as "partial 16S ribosomal RNA". It matches the Rfam family "Bacterial small subunit ribosomal RNA", at positions 30 to 507 of the family's 1533-position model. The record is from RNAcentral.
AUUGAACGCUGGCGGCAGGCCUAACACAUGCAAGUCGAGCGGAUGAAGGGAGCUUGCUCCUGGAUUCAGCGGCGGACGGGUGAGUAAUGCCUAGGAAUCUGCCUGGUAGUGGGGGAUAACGUCCGGAAGCGGGCGCUAAUACCGCAUACGUCCUGAGGGAGAAAGUGGGGGAUCUUCGGACCUCACGCUAUCAGAUGAGCCUAGGUCGGAUUAGCUAGUUGGUGGGGUAAAGGCCUACCAAGGCGACGAUCCGUAACUGGUCUGAGAGGAUGAUCAGUCACCCUGGAACUGAGACACAGUCCAGACUCCUACGGGAGGCAGCAGUGGGGAAUAUUGGACGAUGGGCGAAAGCCUGAUCCAGCCAUGCCGCGUGUGUGAAGAAGGUCUUCGGAUUGUAAAGCACUUUAAGUUGGGAGGAAGGGCAGUAAGUUAAUACCUUGCUGUUUUGACGUUACCAACAGAAUAAGCACCGGCUAACUUCGUG